AAGGAGUCUAACAUAUCUGCGAGUAUUUGGGUGUCCAAACCGUGUGCGCAAUGAAAGUGAACGUAGGAGCCACGCGCACGCUGCAGCUUCGACCGAUCUGGAUCUUUAGUGAUGGAUUUGAGUAAGAGCAUAUAUGUUGGGACCCGAAAGAUGGUGAACUAUGCCUGAAUAGGUCGAAGCCAGAGGAAACUCUGGUGGAGGCUCGUAGCGAUUCUGACGUGCAAAUCGAUCGUCAAAUUUGGGUAUAGGGGCGGAAGACUAAUCGAACCAUCUAGUAGCUGGUUCCUG
This 288-nucleotide unclassified non-coding RNA is filed under the name uncultured fungus. RNAcentral describes it as "partial contains 5.8S rRNA, ITS2 and 28S rRNA". It matches the Rfam family "Eukaryotic large subunit ribosomal RNA", at positions 668 to 960 of the family's 3401-position model. Lineage: Eukaryota; Fungi. The record is from RNAcentral.